RNAcentral lists this unclassified non-coding RNA (279 nucleotides) under plant metagenome. RNAcentral describes it as "partial contains small subunit ribosomal RNA, internal transcribed spacer 1, and 5.8S ribosomal RNA". The record is from RNAcentral.
UUUCUGUAGGUGAACCUGCGGAAGGAUCAUUAAUGUAUAACCGAUGUGCGAGGGCUGUCGCUGACACGAUAGGUCGUGCACGCCCGAGUGCACUCAAAUAAAUACAUAUAACCACUAAGGGCACCACCGCGUGGAUCACCCUUUGGCUUGUUCGGAGGGGGGCUUACGAUUUCACACAAACUAUGUAUGAAGGGUAGAAUGUAUUUUUAGUCUUUGCGAGAAGGUAAUUAAAAUAACUUUUAAAAACGGAUCUCUUAGCUUUAACAUUGAUGAAGAAAG